RNAcentral lists this non-coding RNA (45 nucleotides) under Schistosoma haematobium. The record is from RNAcentral. RNAcentral also lists the same sequence under 1 other name. Lineage: Eukaryota; Metazoa; Platyhelminthes; Trematoda; Strigeidida; Schistosomatidae.
ACUCAUCUGACGAGUUCUGAAUAGGACGAAACUCGUGUCCUGAAU